GGGGAUGUUAUUGGCUUCGACGCCGGUGAUGAAACUCAUAGAUGCAUGCCGAGAGCGCAUUUUCUCUCGUAAAUAAAAUUUGCAUUUAAAUAGUCGCAAACGACGAAACUUACGCUCUAGCUGCCUAAGGGCCGCUUGUCCGCUUCCUAGAAUACUUGUGGUCUGGGAACCCGACUGAAGCGCACGCACACAAGUCCGUAUAGAGUCAAGCCUCGGGGCUUUAUACCAAACUUAGAGGAUCGCACCUUGUACCCUGUUCGUCGGGUCACUUGGUGUUAAAACAAUAGACGAUAUCUAAGCA
This 301-nucleotide transfer-messenger RNA is filed under the name Acinetobacter baumannii. RNAcentral's name for it is "partial transfer-messenger RNA". It matches the Rfam family "transfer-messenger RNA", at positions 1 to 314 of the family's 374-position model. From Rfam's summary of the family: Bacterial tmRNA, also known as 10Sa RNA or SsrA, is named for its dual tRNA and mRNA-like properties. Its role is to liberate the mRNA from a stalled ribosome. Lineage: Bacteria; Pseudomonadati; Pseudomonadota; Gammaproteobacteria; Moraxellales; Moraxellaceae. The record is from RNAcentral.